Long non-coding RNA from Triticum aestivum (bread wheat), 388 nucleotides. RefSeq lists it as uncharacterized. Lineage: Eukaryota; Viridiplantae; Streptophyta; Magnoliopsida; Poales; Poaceae. The record is from RefSeq and is a predicted model, not a curated record. The transcript is spliced from 2 exons.
GCAUGUCCAUCUUCUUGCCAAUGUUCAACCAGUGUCUUUCAUCCAAGAGUUCGCGUUAGUAGUGGCAUCCACCGGUUCGAGUCAGCGAUCUGAUCCCGGACUAACAUCUAAGGCUCUUAGAUCGCGCCUAGCUUCUGCAUCAGCUUGAUUAGCAUUAUGAGGGCUACAAUGUCAACAACUUCUUCAUCCACGUUGACAGGAUCGAUCGAUGUGCACCUUUCCUUCUUCAGCACAUUCAGCAAUGAAGUCCGAAAAGGAGUCAACUAAGGCAUAGGACUUGGCGCACCAUGGUCGCGGCUUCAAUGUAUUCUGCCUCGCAAGAUAAAAAUGUGUCAUGAUAUUCUAUCCAUGUGUUAAACAUGUUAUUUUACAUCCACCGAGAAAGAGA